AGAGUUUGAUCCUGGCUCAGAACGUACGCUGGCGGCACGCCUAACACAUGCAAGUCGAACGAAGUAGCAAUACUUAGUGGCAGACGGGUGAGUAACGUGUGGGUAUCUGCCCUUUGGCCUGGAAUAACACGAGGAAACUUGUGCUAAUACUGGAUAAGUCUUUACGGAGAAAGCUUUAUGCACCAUUGGAUGAGCCUGCACUUGAUUAGUUUGUUGGUGGGGUAAUGGCCUACCAAGACUUUGAUCAAUAGCUGAUUUGAGAGGAUGAUCAGCCACAUUGGGACUGAGACACGGCCCAAACUCCUACGGGAGGCAGCAGUGGGGAAUCUUGCACAAUGGAGGGAACUCUGAUGCAGCGAUGCCGCGUGAGUGAAGAAGGCCUUUGGGUUGUAAAGCUCUUUCGUCGGGGAAGAAAAUGACUGUACCCGAAUAAGAAGGUCCGGCUAACUUCGUGCCAGCAGCCGCGGUAAUACGUAGGGACCUAGCGUAGUUCGGAAUUACUGGGCUUAAAGAGUUCGUAGGUGGUUGAAAAAGUUGGUGGUGAAAUCCCAGAGCUUAACUCUGGAACUGCCAUCAAAACUUUUCAGCUAGAGUUUGAUAGAGGAAAGCAGAAUUUCUAGUGUAGAGGUGAAAUUCGUAGAUAUUAGAAAGAAUACCAAUUGCGAAGGCAGCUUUCUGGAUCAUUACUGACACUGAGGAACGAAAGCAUGGGUAGCGAAGAGGAUUAGAUACCCUCGUAGUCCAUGCCGUAAACGAUGUGUGUUAGACGUUGGAAAUUUAUUUUCAGUGUCGCAGCGAAAGCGAUAAACACACCGCCUGGGGAGUACGACCGCAAGGUUAAAACUCAAAUGAAUUGACGGGGACCCGCACAAGUAGUGGAGCAUGUGGUUUAAUUCGAAGAUACGCGCAGAACCUUACCAACACUUGUCAUGUUCGUCGCGACUUUAAGAGAUUAAAGUUUUCGGUUCGGCCGGACGAAACACAGGUGCUGCAUGGCUGUCGUCAGCUCGUGUCGUGAGAUGUUGGGUUAAGUCCCGCAACGAGCGCAACCCUCACUUUUAGUUGCCAUCAUUAAGUUGGGCACUCUGAAAGAACUGCCAGUGAUAAGCUGGAGGAAGGUGGGGAUGACGUCAAGUCCUCAUGGCCCUUACGUGUUGGGCUACACACGUGCUACAAUGGUAUCUACAACAGGAAGCAAAACAGCGAUGUUAAGCAAAUCCUUAAAAGAUACCUCAGUUCGGAUUGCACUCUGCAACUCGAGUGCAUGAAGCUGGAAUUACUAGUAAUCGUGGAUCAGCGUGCCACGGUGAAUGCGUUCCCGGGUCUUGUACACACCGCCCGUCACACCAUGGGAGUUGGUUCUACCUUAAGGCAAGGCAUAAAACCCUUGACCACGGUAUAGUCAGCGACUGGGGUGAAGUCGUAACAAGGUAACC
RNAcentral lists this ribosomal RNA (1436 nucleotides) under uncultured bacterium. Its description in RNAcentral is "bacterial SSU rRNA". It matches the Rfam family "Bacterial small subunit ribosomal RNA". The record is from RNAcentral.